Long non-coding RNA from Peromyscus leucopus (white-footed mouse), 5138 nucleotides. RefSeq lists it as uncharacterized. The transcript has 2 exons. NCBI's taxonomy places the organism in Eukaryota, Metazoa, Chordata, Mammalia, Rodentia, Cricetidae. The record is from RefSeq and is a predicted model, not a curated record.
ACAGACAGACAGACAGACAGACAGACAGAAGAGAAAGAUCCAACAUUAGCCCAGCCCUAAGUUACUCAGCUGCUUCUUUGUCUGCAAACUCUGGGGUGAGCGAUGCCACUUCAGCCGUAUGUUUUGUUCAAGCACAAACCAAAUUAUGCUAUGCUUGCGUCUAUCUGAACAUAUUGGUUUAUCUUACAUAGAGUUUAAUUGAUGCAAACUUGAACUUCAGUAUGUUAGAUUUUCAGGGAAAACACCAUCCUGCAAUUUAGAUUGCUAUGUUUUUCUUUGAACAAAGAAAAAAAAAAAAAGAGCAAGGCAAUUAGAACCCUGCUUCCUUUAUUUCGGCCGCACUCUCCAACCACUACAAAAAUCAUGUUUAACCUCUUGUAGAGUGACUUCUCCUGUCCUUUCCUGUCCAAUGGCAAAAUUUCUCUCUGAGCCAACAACAUCUGCAUCUUUAGACAGAUGUACUUGUGUGCAAAGUCCGUGUGAGCUGAUCAAGCACGGCUUUGUUUGCACUUAUUCACUGCUCACCCAGCACUGUGUAAGUGGUUUUGCAUAUUAACUAAGUGCACAGUAACCUUUCUUUACCUCCUUAGAGCUCCACCCCCUCCCACCCGCCGGGGAAAUCAACACUGUUACUCGCUGAGGAAGCUGCCAAGAGGUUGCCAUGGCAACUGUUCAGCUUUCAGCAGCUACUUUUCUGGUUUGAAGGGGAUGGGGAGAGGAGGAGAAAGAAAGCACCACACACCCAACAAACUGAGGAGAACUAGGCAGUUUUCUGAUCAGAGUUCAGAUAAGGAAGGUCAGAGUCAUUUGUGGGCACUGACUAAAAUAACCCCACGGAUGGGAGAGUUACCACAUAAGAAGCAAACUAAAAAGAACUGCAGCGCUGAGCAUCUGUGGAGACUUCUGCAGACUAUAUUUCAGGCGUUCGAGAGUGCGCGCUGCAUCAAAAUCCAACCAAUAGCAAUGGGGAGCCUUGCCCUCCCUAGCCUCGAUUUGUUUCCCCUACCUGAAGCCAGGGUGUGCUGCAGCUGCGAGGUGACCGCCCAGCGCCCUCCAGGCCCCUCCUGCUCUGCUCCAACCGCAAAAGCGUGAAGGCAAGCUUCAAAUGGUUUAAAGGAGACCCUUGCCAAAAUCAAGGCUGACUUCUGGCCACCCUCACAUGUUCGUUUCACUGACAGGUGACCUCCAAGGGAAGGCGUGUCUGUAAAGGAGGGCUUGGUUUGGGAGGUUUUUAAUUCAAACUGCAGCCCCCGUGCAACGCGGGAACCGUCCUAAGAAGUAAGAAAUAAGAAGGAACUAUACAGAGAUCCUGGUCCUGGGCUGCUGGACCCUCAGUGGCAGAAAGAGAGCCUCUGAAUUCUGUAGCUGUAAUUAUCGUUCACAAAGUAAACCCAUUUCCGUGUGUAUAUUUGUAGAGGAUGAUUGGGAAAUAUGCACUGGAGAAAGAUCGCUAGUUCAAUCACAAAAAAUCAAUGGGUUAGAUACCAAGUGGAAAGGAAAGCGCUGAGUGGCACAUCACCUUUCUGUCCCUCAGUCCUUUCCCUCCAGAAAGAAAUACAGCUAUUGACAAUAGAUUCAGUGUGGGCUUUUUUGUUGGAGCAGCAGAAACUGAACUCUAGCUAGUUUCUUACUGAAAGCCUGUGAGGACAUUUACAGAAUAAAAGGAAGGCUGAAGAAACCUACUUACAGAGGACAGGCCAGCCUGUGUCGGGGUCUCUAUAGCAGACGCAGCAGCCAGCACCAUCAGUUACCAUUGCUAGGUGGACAAUUGGUAGGAGUUUCUCUUCUCAUCAUCCUCAAAUGGCCUGAGUCAACAGGGUAUCCCUUUGUCAAUGGGCACAUGCCUGUAAGGUUUUGAAAAGUGGAGUCCUCAAUUUGCUGAUUCACAGAGUCACCUGGCGGCUUCUAAAAGAACGGGGAGAAUGGAAGGUCUUUCUCCUCCAUUGACACGUUUAUGGCUGUGGAUCUGACUGCCAUAAUCUCGCCUGGGUUAAUGGUUAUUCAUUCCCUUUCAUUAGUUUUCAUUACUGUGGCUGGAACCCAGGGUCUCAUGGAUGCCAGGGAAGCACUCCACCUCUGAGCUACAUCCCCAACCCUCAUCUCCUUUCAAAAUUCAUCUUUGAGAGACAUGAAGACAGGACUUGAACUUGCAAACUUCCUGCCUCAGCCUCCUGAGUGGUUGGGAUUAUAGGCAUAUGCCACCAUACCAGGCUAACUCGGAUUUGCAACCUUCUUUGCCAGGGCUACCUUUUUGUGAAGGUCAAAUGAUGUUUGAAACAGAAGUGGUAUUGAAUUAUACCAGGACAAGAGGCAUGGGCUUUGGCAGUCCUUCCCAACUAAGGUGUGUGUGGCUCUGCUUUCCCUUUUCAUAACUGUGUUUUCUCAGAUCAGUUUAAGGAAAUCCAAAUGCUCCUUAAGGAAUGAAAAAGGCCACCUUCUUCUCUAUGUCCCCAACAUCUCUUUUGUGCUUGGCAUGGGACAUAACUUAUGGAUCAUUACAAUGCAAUUAUUAAACUCAUUUGAUUCUCUCCCAUCCCCAUUUUUCAGUGUAUCUGAGGGGUAUGCUAUCCCCAAUACUCACAGUGGGGGUCAUAGCUAACUCCUUUUUCUCUUUGCAUCAUAGAAAUGGAUAAAGAACUAAAUGAUCCCAAACAUUUCUAUUUAUGGAAAAUACUGUUACUUAAUGAGGAAAUGACAUUUUGGCGAACAGGAAGGUGAAAUAUUUAUGUAUUUUAAAAGAUUGGUAUCCGUUGAAAGGUCUUUAAACAACAACACUUAAAGCCAGGGUGGCCUUUACAGAAUGCCUAUUUUAUGAAACAUAGGUGGGCACUACAAUGUAGCAAUACUAGCCAGUAGCUCAUUUCAUGUGUUCUUGGAUUUUGUCUACCUACACGUCUCUAGCUGGUCUUUCAGAGAGGUACAACCUUCAGAUUUCAAGAACCACUGAGUUGCACUCUCACCUUCCAAGCCAGUGAGUCUCAAACCUUCCUAAUGUUGGGACCCUUUAAUAUAGUUCCUCAUGUUGUGAUAACCUCCAAUCAUAACAUUAUUUUGUUGCUACUUCAUAACUAUAAUUUUGCUACUUUUAUGAAUAAUAAUGUAAAUAUCUGAUAUGUGACUCCCCAGGUUAAGAACCAUUGUUAAAGCUCACUGGUAAAAGAGAUCUGCCUUGGAUUGCAUUUUCUGGGGCCAGCUCUGCCCUGAGGAUUAGUCACAAGGAUUUGUAAUGGGUCCGGUUCAGUGUCAGGGUAUGCUUUCAGAUGGUCACUCCAACAAUGUCUUCCUUCAAGAGCACUGUGUCCAGGAAUCCCUGAAUUUCCCUGCACAGUUGCAGCUGAGAGUGAAGAUCAAAGAAGCUUCUUCGAUCAAGCAGAGCCACAAGCAUAUGCCUCUCAGACACAUUUGAAGACCAACGUAAGAGACUAAUGAGUUGUGCUUACUCCAGGCUCAUUCCUCUUUUGUUUCCUGCUGGGCACUGUGGGCAUCGGGAACCCACGUCUAAUGAGCCAUAGAUGGAUGCACUGCAGCUCUGUGAUAAAGGUACAAGUGCAAACCAAGGCCCCUAGGACAAAUAACACCUGCAUCAGAAAAGCAGGUCAUCCCAUAAUGUGGGAUGUUGUCACGGUUCCCUACCUUCUCCGCACUAUUUUCCUUUGGUGGAAACGCUUUUCCUAUCAGUCAUUCUAAAGCACCGUCCCCUCAUCCCCUUCAUCCAAGGACAUUAUGGCCCCCCUUGUCAUGCGAUGUUGGUUGUCCCAUUCAGAACUCACGAAGUGGAAAGCAAAGCACAGGAUGUUACUGAGAUAUAGUUCUAUCUUUUAAGGUUCUACAAGGACCAAUAGUUCUAUUAAAGCAAUGAUAUGGAAAAUUGUGUUCAUAAAAGGAAAAUGAGUCAUAUUUACAUUAUGCUGACUAAUAUUUUUAAUUUAAAUAGGAUUUACUUUAGAAUAGAAACUACUUGACAUUCAGAUUAUUAACUCGAGAGGGAAAAAAUGCAUGAACUGUGGCAUAUUGACAGGAGACUAAUUUCCUGUAAGGGGGAAGAGUAGCUUGGAAUGAUCUAGAAAGCAUGGGAGGGAAAUGGCCAACUCGACUGUAAUGCAAAGCGAAAGAACAUAUGUGAAGCGGAGAGCGAUGUGUUCUUGACUAACUCAGCAGAACAACUCUCAAGCAGGACAGUGAAAUUUUAGUGACAUGACGUGUGUUAGUGCCAAGUGAACAUUAGCGUCUACAAAACACACUUGUUUUUCUUGUUUGAAAUGAUCCAAUAUGUAGACAUUUUGUGCGUUUUUUUGUGACAGCAGCUUUUUCCAUAUACUCUGAGUGUAGAUGCACUUCUCUGAGCCCAAGGGUCUGAGUUAAGGUGAAACCUGAGUGCAAUCCAGAUAUUUCCAUGAGCAGAGUUGGAAAUUCGUAGUUCAGUAUCCUUCUCUUGCCUAUUGAUGCUUUCCUUAGUGCCAGGAGGCCACUAAGGCAUUGCUUUCUCAGUCCUCGAUUGUCUGGGUGAUUGUUUUCUAGUGUCCAUGUUUCCAGGAUAGACACUGGCCUGACUGAUAUUAAUAACACUUUAAAAUCCUCACAUCUGCCGAGUGACAUGAAAGGAAAAGAAAAAGCUGCAUCUCCAUUGGUUGUGUUUGUUAUAGAGUUCACAGUUUCAAAAUAUGAUACAAAAUUUAAAAGUUACUCAGAUAUUCCAUCAUAUACACAUCAUCAAUUAGAGAUGGAUUAUUUGCUCAUAUUUAACUUUUUUUCCACUUAAUUUCAUACAUCUGCUAAGUCACCAAGGUUCACAAAAGAUAUAGCUUAUUUUCAAAUUGUUUUUGACUUAAUUCAAGACUGAAAAAAUAGUCUCUCUUUCUCAGGCUUAAACUCUGUAAGGACGAGAUCUAUGUACUGUCUAUUUAUAAUAAAUAUUGAAACUUUACUCCAUUGCUUACAGUGCAGUGGGAUUCACUCAAUGAUAUCAGCUACAUUCGGUGCCAGCCCUUCAAAAGGAAUCUCUUCCAUCUCCCUAGAAAGAUCUCUAUAGGAAAACUUGUUUGCGAAAUGACUGAAGCUCCCUUAACAAAUAAAACACAACAGUGUUUGUUGCUCUUUUUCUCUGAAGUGAUGACAAAUUGCCGAGGAGUGAAAGCCUU